AAAAAUCGAGAAGAAUAUUACCAGUUACUGGGUAAUAAACUCUGAGGGGACCAAAAUAUCUAUCUAGGUAAUAACUAGAAAGAAACGAUCAAACAAAGACUCAACCCAAAGAGGAUCUAACUCAAGGGGAGUGGUUCCAUCCAGAUAAUUAAUUGGGAGGAAACUGAAAUAAGAAUCAUUCAUGAGGAAAUAACUCAGUGGGGAAUGAGAAAGGUUAAACUCUU
RNAcentral lists this long non-coding RNA (224 nucleotides) under Lathyrus oleraceus (garden pea). RNAcentral's name for it is "Pisum sativum (pea) long non-coding RNA (PSAT_LNC034092)". Lineage: Eukaryota; Viridiplantae; Streptophyta; Magnoliopsida; Fabales; Fabaceae. The record is from RNAcentral.